GACUCGGUGACGUAGAGAUAGCGUGCCUGCAACGUAAGGUUGCCGGUUCAAUUCCGGCUGGAGUCG
Molecule: non-coding RNA, 66 nt
Organism: Trichonephila clavipes
Lineage: Eukaryota; Metazoa; Arthropoda; Arachnida; Araneae; Nephilidae
Source: the annotation of a GenBank genome assembly